AUCAUUAGCUUUUCUUGGGAUCUCAAAGGACCCUGUGCAGCAGGCCACUAUUUGAAUGUGUGUUGCUCCUUGUGGCAGGUAUACUGUUCCAAUGCCCUGGGAUCUCUGUAGUGGUCGGUACUGUAUUGAUUAUAAAUGGUGAAGUCCUAGUAUCUUGCUAGAGUGAGCUGGCCAGGAUGGUGGAGCUCUACCACCAUUUCACAGGUUAUAGACAGGGGCCACCAGGUUUCAGGAAAGCAGCAAUGACCCCUCAGUAAUAGUUGGAAAGUGUGAUAUGACACUGAGCUUCACUGUGUUGGUGAAGAAGAGCUGCAGUUUGCCUCCACCUCUGAAGAAGCACAAUACACCUUUCUGGGUUACCAAUGGGAUACUUCCCAACAGCUUUGUCAUCACAUACAAUAUUCUCAAACAAGAUCUUAAUGGCAUCUACUUUCUCCAGGAACACAGCCCCUGACCUGUGUGUGUUUGCGUAGAGAAGGCAUGCUAUGUACCCCCUAGGAUAUCAAGAUUCCUGUAGCAGAUUGAGCUCUGGCAGUUGAUCUCAGUGGCUUGAUAGAGUGUCAUUAUAAAAACGCACCUGGAAGAUUCUGUGGAAAAGACAACCUCAGAAGACCAAGAGGCUGACUUUGCAAGAGAGAGUCCGUUUACCACUUAGAACCGUGAACACCACCCCCGCCCUCAUUUAUCUCCAGACUUGAACUAGUGGUUAAAUCCCAACAUGUCCCAGAGAAGUCAAAAGCAUUGUAAAAUCUGGGAAUCUGCCCACCACUCAAGCCUGGGAAAGCUGGCAGAGGAUGCACGUGUUUUACUCACCUGAGUGUUUACAAUGCUCGUGAGGUGCCUCCCUGAUAUUUUUAUAGCAGAAUGGAGAAACACAACCAAGGAGAUACACCUAAGUAACAACAGCAAUGAUGUCAAAAAGAGUGCCUGAAUACUUAGGGUGGAGGUCCUGGACAUGCAAACCCAAGCUUCCUCUUUGCUGUGGCCAGGAAUCUGCAGUGAUUGAGAGCACAGACUGUAUCUAAAAUUCCACCUUUCAAAGUUCAGCAUAUUACUUUUUUUUUUCUUACACCUAUAAGUACAGAGGAAUGAAGAAGGAAUAAACAGACCUUCUGGAUAAUUGCAUCAGCCUUCCCCACUAUUCCAAUGCCAUGCUAACAUUUCAAGUAAUGUCCCUUUUGUCUUGCUGAGAAAAAAUCAUUUCAUGAUUUAUUACACUGGAUUAAAGGCUAUGCACACUCUGGAGUUGGAACAUGACUGAAGGGCAAGCAAGCAUAAAGGAUAUCAGAAACAGUUGAUGUGUUUAAAUUUUUCUGAAUUUCUCAAGUAAACUUUUUAGAAAGUAGUCUGAAGAUAAAAUGGUUAUAUAAGUUACUUAAACUGUAGAUGAUGGCACCUUUAUCCCUAUAUAAUAAAAUUAAGAUUUGUAGGUUAAACCUUGGAUAUUCCCAUCUGAGCAUCUGUACCAAACAGAAAAGACCUGUGUGAGUUCCUGAGAACCAGUGCUCAUUCCAGAAGAGACAGGUUUCUCUCCAGGAAGAAAUGUCUGAAAUUCAGUGAAUUAAAAUCCUCAUUGAGUCUUCCU
This is a long non-coding RNA of Homo sapiens (human), 1585 nucleotides long. Ensembl annotates it as long intergenic non-protein coding RNA 616. NCBI's taxonomy places the organism in Eukaryota, Metazoa, Chordata, Mammalia, Primates, Hominidae. The record is from Ensembl.